AUUGCACAACUUAAGUUUGUCGAGGAUCGUUUUUUUAAACUGAAUCUUGCUCUUUUUUGGCGCUUGAAACCCUCGAUGAAUGUGUCAAUGUGCAAAGAUAAAAUAUUGUUCUCUGUUGAUCAGUGAUUUUGGCUUUGCUUUGGAGAAGUAUCUUUUCCCUUUCCCAUAAUUGACUUUUGUCCUAAAAGUUGUUCGGAGAGAAUAAGCAUAGUUGAAGUUGCGACUUUUUAUUUUUUUUUUGCUUUUGCAUGGAUACCAUAUCUAUGCACGUCUCAUGUUUAUUGGACCUUCAACAUUGGUUUUUCCUUCUGUUUUGAGGUUAAUAUUUUUUUCUCUACUUUUGAUAUGUCACAUAUUAAUACCGAUUAUGUUCUUAAUUUCCUCAUCGCUGUUGUUUUAAUUCGACUCAUUUGAGUUCUUCAUUUGUGUUUGGUUGGAUAUUCAGUUUGAGGUAAACAACAUAGUUGGUAUGUGCAGGAAAUGAUUGAAAAUCACAUGAACAUCUGGGUGAUCGUACAGAAGUGAAAAUACCUGAGGCAGUUUUGUACAAAAAAGAAGCUA
RNAcentral lists this small nucleolar RNA (561 nucleotides) under Saccharomyces mikatae IFO 1815. RNAcentral describes it as "Small nucleolar RNA snR84". It matches the Rfam family "Small nucleolar RNA snR84". The record is from Rfam by way of RNAcentral. Lineage: Eukaryota; Fungi; Ascomycota; Saccharomycetes; Saccharomycetales; Saccharomycetaceae.